This 1159-nucleotide long non-coding RNA is filed under the name Homo sapiens (human). RNAcentral describes it as "long non-coding RNA NONHSAT175752.1". The record is from RNAcentral. Lineage: Eukaryota; Metazoa; Chordata; Mammalia; Primates; Hominidae.
CAAGAGGCCCAGCAUGUGCUGUUCCUCAGCAAGAACCAGGCCAUCCGGCAGCCAGAGGUGCAGGCAGCUCCCAAGGAGAAGUCUGAGCAGAAAAAAGCAAAAAAAGCGUUCCAGAAGCGGCGACUAGAUAAAGUCCGACGGAAAAAGGAGGAAAAGGCGGCAGACAGGCUGGAGCAGGAGUUGCUCCGAGACACGGUGAAGUUUGGUGAGGUUGUCCUGCAGCCCCCAGAGCUGACUGCCAGGCCCCAGAGGAGCGUAAGCAAGGACCAGCCUGGCAGGAGAUCGCAGAUGCUGCGGAUGCUUCUGAGCCCCGGUGGUGUGUCCCAGCCUCUGACCGCCUCCCUGGCCCGCCAGCGGAUUGUGGAGGAGGAGAGAGAGCGGGCCGUGCAGGCCUACAGAGCGUUGAAGCAGCGGCAGCAGCAGCUGCACGGGGAGCGACCCCACCUCACUUCCCGGAAGAAGCCAGAGCCGCAGCUGUGAUGGAGAGACACCCGGGGCCUGGCCACGCUCUGGGGCAACUGGCACCAGGAGCUGCUACACCUGGGUAGGAGAGAGGCAGGCCAUGCCAGCAGUGUGGGGUGAGGCCUCCAGCUACUUGUUCACACGUUGGGCACUAGUGGGUCCACAUCUUGCAGGGGGUGAGUGCCCGAUGGACUAGGGCCAAGGCCUGGUUGACAGACGGCCCGUGGGGCCCGGUGUCACUCACAGCUCCAUCUCUUUGUUUUGAACGUCCAUUCUGAGUCUCAGCCCAGGUGGACCUUAGGAAGGGCUGGAUCCCUGUCCCUGAACACCAAAUACCGAGACAGCUGAUGAGGCUGGCUCAGUGUGUGACGGAGGCCCCCGGGAGUCAGCAGAGCCGAGCGUACAGUGCACAUCAGGCAGAGCAGGCCACGGGCAGGGACGACGCAUCGGGACAGGGCUCUGCAGGGGACCGUGACUACAGGCCAGCUGUGAGUGGUCCCCUACAGAGGCUGCCCACCCAAGGUUUGGUUGGGGUGAAACAUGAUGACAACACAUACACUUAAGAAGGUGGGAACCGGGGGCCGGGCGCGGUGGCUCACACCUGUAAUGCCAGCACUUUGGGCAGCUGAGGCGAGUGGAUCACCUGAGGUCAGGAGUUCGAACCAGCCUGGCCAACAUGGUGAAACUGCAUCUCUAC